RNAcentral lists this ribosomal RNA (524 nucleotides) under uncultured Hanseniaspora. RNAcentral's name for it is "eukaryotic LSU rRNA". It matches the Rfam family "Eukaryotic large subunit ribosomal RNA", at positions 62 to 591 of the family's 3401-position model. The record is from RNAcentral. Lineage: Eukaryota; Fungi; Ascomycota; Saccharomycetes; Saccharomycodales; Saccharomycodaceae.
AAACUAACAAGGAUUUUCUUAGUAGCGGCGAGUGAAGCGGCAAAAGCUCAAAUUUGAAAUCUGGCACUUUCAGUGUCCGAGUUGUAAUUUGUAGAAGUAGUUUUGGGACUAGUCCUUAUCUAUGUUUCUUGGAACAGGACGUCAUAGAGGGUGAGAACCCCGUAUGAUGAGGCCCCCAGUCCUUUGUAAAACGCUUUCGAAGAGUCGAGUUGUUUGGGAAUGCAGCUCUAAGUGGGUGGUAAAUUCCAUCUAAAGCUAAAUAUUGGCGAGAGACCGAUAGCGAACAAGUACAGUGAUGGAAAGAUGAAAAGAACUUUGAAAAGAGAGUGAAAAAGUACGUGAAAUUGUUGAAAGGGAAGGGCAUUUGAUCAGACAUGGUGUUUUGCGCCCUUUGCUCCUUGUGGGCGGAGGAUACGCAGCUCACUGGGCCAACAUCAGUUUUGGGAGCAGGAUAAAUCUGUAGGAACGUAGCUUUCUUCGGGAAUGUUAUAGCCUACGGGAAUACUGCUACCUGGGGACCAGGA